Non-coding RNA from Phalacrocorax carbo (great cormorant), 377 nucleotides. The record is from RefSeq and is a predicted model, not a curated record. Lineage: Eukaryota; Metazoa; Chordata; Aves; Suliformes; Phalacrocoracidae.
UGUUGAACUGUGUUGAAGUCAAUGAAACACUUUUAUGGUUUGGCUGCAGGCUUUGCUGAAUGACACUGCUUGUCCAUGAAAAUGCUCUGAACCUCAAGCACCAAGCUGCGUUUGUGCACCAGGAGCUCCAGACUUGGAAGCCAGCAAGCAAGAAGACCUAGAAGACUUAGAGAAAGAUAAAGCACCUCCAUGUAGCUUUUACCUGCUAAUAGCAUUUCUAUCACUGCAAGAUCUGGCAAGAGAGUCAAACAUUUUCCUAAAGGUUCUAGCCCAGCUCACCAGGGACACGGUCUUUAUGCAGUGUUUCCUGAUAUCUUCUUAGAUCCCAAGCAUGGAACAAAAGCCCACAAGAAAGUUAGAGACCAGAUGCAAUUAGA